Molecule: ribosomal RNA, 253 nt
Filed under: uncultured bacterium
Lineage: Bacteria
Description: partial 16S ribosomal RNA
Rfam family: Bacterial small subunit ribosomal RNA
Source: RNAcentral
UACGUAGGUGGCAAGCGUUGUCCGGAUUUACUGGGCGUAAAGAGCGCGCAGGCGGUCGUUCAAGUCGCGUGUGAAAGCCCCCGGCUCAACUGGGGAGGGUCACGCGAUACUGAUCGACUCGAAGGCAGGAGAGGGAAGUGGAAUUCCCGGUGUAGUGGUGAAAUGCGUAGAUAUCGGGAGGAACACCAGUGGCGAAGGCAGCUCGCUGGGACGUUACUGACACUGAGGCGCGAAAGCGUGGGGAGCGAACAGG